Molecule: long non-coding RNA, 5532 nt
Filed under: Brassica rapa (field mustard)
Lineage: Eukaryota; Viridiplantae; Streptophyta; Magnoliopsida; Brassicales; Brassicaceae
Description: long non-coding RNA (BRAP_LNC000824)
Source: RNAcentral
AAAAAGGCUCAAUUCGAACCAAGUCUCAGAGAGAUUACAAAAACAACAUUUUAAAAACAGAGAAACUAGACAAACUAUCAAAAGAGUAUUACAGAACAAGAAGACGGGUUGGUUGGUUACUUGGAAACUUUCUUCUUCCCAGCAAUUGCAACCUUCUUACCUUUAAGAGUCCUGCAGUUAUUCUUAGUUCUCUGUCCCCUACAUGGCAACCCUUGGAUGUGCCUUACUCCACGGUAACACUGAAUCUCCUUCAACCUCUUGAUAGCAAGCGCAUUAAAUCUCCAAUACACAAAACACAAAUGAAUUCUCAAUGGCCUAAUGAACAUUUGCUACAUGCUGGAAAAAAAGCAAAUAUACCAGAUCACCCUCGAUCAUGUACUUGGAGACUUCAUCACGAAGAACGAUGAGCUCUUCCUCAGCCAUGUCUUUGGUGAUCUUGUUCUCCAUUUGAAGAUCAACGAGGAUCUGUCGAGCUCUAGUUCUGCCAAUCCCGUCAAAUCUCUUAGAAACACAAAGAAUUAUAAGAACAACUUUUCUUAUUAGCUUUAGAAACUACUCAAAACUAAAGCUCUCAAUAUGUUUCUCUUAGAUCAUAUGGAACACCUCUCCAUUAGACCUAUAUUUAUAUGAAAGACAAUUCCCUUUAACAUGUGGGAUAUGGAAAACACAAACCUAACCUAAAUAGAAACUUCCUUUUCCUAUUUCUAGGUUUCCUUAUUGUGUUUAUCUUAACAUAUUAAACAUCUAAUAAUAUGUUAAGUUUCCACAAGCUUGGAAUUAUCCAACAUUCACCCCCUUAAUUCCAACUUGAAUUAGGGAGAUCAAUUUCUUGAACUCCGAUUAAGCUCCUCAUUUGCUUGAACAUAAUCCUUGCUAAUGGCUUGGUAAGGAUGUCGGCCUUCUGCUCAACACCCGGCACAUGCUCCACUUCGAUAUGCCCGUUCUCCACACACUCACGAAUGAAGUGAUAUUUCUUGAGUACAUGCUUACUCCUUCCAUGGAAAACUGGAUUCUUGGUUAGAGCAAUGGCUGAUUUGUUGUCGAUCCUAAGCUUGACUCUCUCGCCUUCUUUGCUUAGUAUCUCACUCAACAAUUCCUUGAUCCAUAUAGCUUGCUUCGCUGCUUCUGUUGCUGCCAUGAAUUCUGCUUCGCAUGAUGACAAUGCAACCGUCUGCUGCUUCUGCGACGUCCAAGUAAUCAGUGAUGAACCGUAGUAGAAUGCAUGUCCUGACGUGCUCCUCCCGUCAUCGAGAUCAAUGUUGUGACUGCUGUCACUAUAACCAACGACACUCCUUGACCCAUCUCUCUUGAAGAACAGACCGAAGUUUGUUGUUCCUUUCACAUACCGCAGUAUGUGCUUGAUGGCUUGUCCGUGAGAGUUUCUCGGAUUGUGCAUGUAUCUGCUAAGAACACCUACUGCGUAACACAGGUCGGGUCUUGUGUGAAGCAGAUACCUCAAACAUCCUAUGAUUCUUCUGAACUCGGUAGCAUCUAUCUCUUGUUCAUCUUCAGCUUUUGAGAUCUUCAAAUUCGCCUCCAUUGGAAUUUGAGUUGCGUUACACGCUUCCAUCUUUGUGUCACGCAGGAUUCCUUGAGCAUACCUCUCUUGUUUUAUUCUGAUUCCGUCUGCUCCUUGAAUCACCUCUAUGCCAAGGUAGUACGUUAGCUUACCUAGAUCUGACAUCUCGAACUUCUUAGACAUCUCCUCCUUGAAUUGCCUAAUCACCUUAAGUGAAGUCCCUGUCACAAAUAGAUCAUCAACGUAGAUGGCAAUGAUCAAGACGUCUCCUCCUUCAGUCUUGCAGUACACUGAUGGUUCCUUCGUGCACUUCUCAAAUCUUAUCUCCUUGAGAACCUGAUCGAGUUUUACAUUCCAUGCCCUGGGUGCCUGGCGUAACCCAUACAAAGCCUUGUGUAACACAUAUACUCGAUCCUCUUCUCCUUUCUUUUCGAAACCUUCAGGUUGAGUUACAUACACUAACUCCUUUAGAUCUCCAUUCAAGAAAGCGGUCUUCACGUCCAUGUGAUGUAUCUCCCAACCGUUCGUUGCUGCGAGGGCUAUUAAGAGUCGAAUGGUUUCAAGUCUUGCCACUGGUGCAAACACUUCGUCGAAAUCUAUUCCUUCUCUUUGUACAUAGCCUUUUGCCACAAGUCUCGCCUUAUACUUGCUCACUGUACCAUCCGCCUUUCUCUUGAUCUUGAAGAUCCACUUCAACCCUAUGGGUUUCACUCCAGCCGGUCUAUCCACAAGUUUCCAUGUCUUGUUUCUUGUGAUAGACUCCAACUCGGCCACCAUCGCUUCAACCCAUUCUCGUACGUGUUCAGCUUCAAAAUAGUUCUCUGGCUCGCCAUCCACUGUGAGCAACAGCAUUGCACUUUCUUGAUCUGCAAGUAACACAUAAUCAUCGAGAUAUCUUGGUUUUGUUAUGGUUCGGCCUUGUCUGGUCACCAGCGGUUGACCUCCACCGUUUUGGUUUGCAUUGUGAUCCGCAUCUUCUUCUUCUUCCUCAUCUUGGUUUAUAGCUUCCUGUUCAUGAUCCUCACCUUGAUCAUUACCUUCUUCUAUAUCACCCUCAUGUGGAAGCUUAAGCAUGCUCGGUUCACAAUCAUCUUGGUUUGUUGUAGACGCCCAGUCCCAAGCUUUCUCUUCAUCGAAAAUCACAUCUCUACUCACCAUCACCUUCCUUGUGUCUGGAUCAUAAAGUCUGUAGGCUUUGGAACCCGGCUCAGUUCCAAGAUUGACCAUACUCUUUGAUCUCUCAUCCAACUUCUUCAGAUAAGGACCAGUGAUUUUCGCAUGAGCUACACAACCGAAUAUCCUCAAGUGCUUGAUAUUUGGUUUCCUCGAUGUAAGGCACUCGUAUGGUGUUUGAUUCUUCAAGGCUUUUGUAGGAACUCUGUUGAUGAGGUAAGUUGAAUGUCGUACAGCUUCACCCCACAAGUAGUUCGGCAUCUUCAUUGCCUUCAGCAUACUUCUUGUCAUUCCCAUCAAGGUUCGGUUUCUCCUCUCCACAACACCGUUUUGUUGAGGUGUGUAAGGCGCGGUUAGGUGCCUUUUAACUCCAUUCUCUUCACAGAAUAGAUUGAACUCAGCUGAGGUAAACUCUCCUCCUCUAUCGGUGCGAAAGGUUUUGAUGGUUGACCCGGUCUGCUUCUCUACACUCUCUUUAAACCUUUUGAAUCGAUCGAAUACCUCACUCUUCUCCUUCAAUAGCAUAACCCACAUAUACCUAGAGAAGUCAUCGAUCAAUACAAAGACAUACUUAUUAUUUGCAGGCGUUGGUGGUGUGAUUGGACCACACAAAUCUCCAUGCAAUAACUCUAAUGGCUUUGUCGCACGAAACAUGGCUUUGGUCGGGAAUGACUGUCUGAUCUGCUUUCCUGCGAGACAUGCGUCACACACGCUUUCUUCGUGUGUUACACACGGCAUUCCUACGACCAUCUCCUUCCUUACCAUGUUGUUCAUCACUCCAUAGCUUAUAUGUCCUAGUCGAGCAUGCCACCUCCAUGUAGCAUCUACGUCCCUGACAUGUAAACACUCCGGGUAGCUUAUCUCCAUAGGGGUCUUGUAGAGACGGUUUGGAGAUCUUGUCACACGAACUAGCAACCUUCCAUGCGAAUCUGUGAGCGUUAAGUAGACAUCUUUCAUGUUAACCUCACAUCCGUUCUCUGUUGCUUGCCCAAGACUCAAUAUAUUGUGCUUCAGAUCGGGUAUGUAGUAUAUGUCCUUGAGUGCCUUCUUCUCUCCAGUCUUGCACACAAAGGUAACCACACCCUUUCCUACAAUGUCAACACACGAUCCAUCACCAAACUUCACCUUCCCUUUGGUGUUGAGAUUCAAACUCGAAAAGAACUCCUUGUUCCCUGUCAUGUGAUUGCUCGCUCCAUUAUCCAAAUACCAGACACUUGCAUUGCCUUUGUCGAUAUCAAGAUUCUUCGGAAUCACCUUAUCUUCAUUCAAAAACACCACCUCGUGUACAUAGAGUGCAUCAGCCUCUUCUGUCUCGUUUAGGUUAGUUUCUUGAUUCUUCUCUGUCUUUUCGGGACAGACAGUUGCGUAGUGACCAGGCUUGUCACAUCUCCAACAUAUCAGCUUUGAACGAUUCUUCUUCGAGUUGUUAUCUUCGGUGUGUGACGCACGGUUUUGGUUGUGUGACCUACCUCGACCUCUGCCUCUACCGUUCCGUCCUCUUCCUCUACCACGGGAAUUCUCAUAGCCCCUCUGACUAUGCUCUUCAUUGUUCGAAAACAUCAGCUUCCCUUGGUCUUCUUUCUGAGUUUCUUCUCCUACACGCUCCUCGUACGCCUUAAGCCUUCCUACUAUGUCUUCAAACCCCGUCGAGUUGAGAUCUAGGACUUGCUCAAGUGAUGCUACGAUCUGGAUAUACUUGUGUCUUGGAAGACCCUUCAAGAACUUCUUGACCAUCUUGGAUUCUUCUAUGUUUUCUCCCAACGAGGUUGCUUUGGAUGAUAGGCCCGAUAUCUUCCCCGCGAAGUCAUCGACCGUAUCUGAAUCAUCCAUCUUCAACCUGUCAAACUCCGCCAUCAACGUCUGAAGUCUCGCCUCCCUUACACGAUCAGCUCCUAGGUGUCGCGACUUGAUGGCGUUCCAGAUCUCUUUUGAUGCGGUUUGUUCUCCCACCUGGAGAAUCAAUGUUUCGGGAACAGAUUGAAACAAAAGAGCUAUCGCAACAUCGUUCUUCUUUUGAUCAUCUGAACCAGGUUCGAUUGUGUCCCACACUUCAUGAACACGUAGUAGAACCUUCAUCCUCAUCGACCAAACUGUGUAGUUUGUCGAUGACAACAUCGGACAUUGGAUGGAUGUAGAUCCAAAGUCCUUCGUGCGUGGAGCCCUAGUCACGUCAGCCAUCUUGCCGUCGCGAUCUCUUGUUCACAAGCACCAGGAUCUUAAGCUACAACUUAAGCUUAGAUCGAGUCUCCAACCUGGCUCUGAUACCAAUUCAAAUCUCUUAGAAACACAAAGAAUUAUAAGAACAACUUUUCUUAUUAGCUUUAGAAACUACUCAAAACUAAAGCUCUCAAUAUGUUUCUCUUAGAUCAUAUGGAACACCUCUCCAUUAGACCUAUAUUUAUAUGAAAGACAAUUCCCUUUAACAUGUGGGAUAUGGAAAACACAAACCUAACCUAAAUAGAAACUUCCUUUUCCUAUUUUUAGGUUUCCUUAUUGUGUUUAUCUUAACAUAUUAAACAUCUAAUAAUAUGUUAAGUUUCCACAAGCUUGGAAUUAUCCAACAUCCCGUGAAUGUACUGGAGAGAGUAUUCGAUUCUCUUGUUGCUAGGAAUCUCCACACCUGAUGCUUAGACUCUGCUGCUUCUGCAUCUCAAGAUGAAACCCAAACGCUAAAAAAACAUACUUUAAUCACGCGAGAGAGAGAAAGAGGGAGUCUUUGAGAGGUUAUUACAACAUUGGGAGUGUUUGAAGGUGGGAGAGCGAGAGUGUUGCGAGAGAGAGGACUGGGUUUUUCCCAGUUGCUACUGAGUGGGCAUCGCGACCAUCUGCGCCAUUUUUUU